GUCUAUGGCCAUUCCACCCUGAACAAGCCCAAGCUAAGCAGGGUCAGGUCUGUUAGUUCUUGGAUGGGAGACCACCUAGGAAGACCAGAUACUGUAGGCA
This 100-nucleotide ribosomal RNA is filed under the name Pteropus alecto (black flying fox). The record is from RNAcentral. Lineage: Eukaryota; Metazoa; Chordata; Mammalia; Chiroptera; Pteropodidae.